Molecule: ribosomal RNA, 406 nt
Filed under: uncultured bacterium
Lineage: Bacteria
Description: partial 16S ribosomal RNA
Rfam family: Bacterial small subunit ribosomal RNA
Source: RNAcentral
AUUGAACGCUGGCGGCAGGCCUAACACAUGCAAGUCGAACGAGUGGCGGACGGGUGAGUAAUGUCUGGGAAACUGCCUGAUGGAGGGGGAUAACUACUGGAAACGGUAGCUAAUACCGCAUACCAUCAGAUGUGCCCAGAUGGGAUUAGCUAGUUGGUGGGGUAACGGCUAACAAAGGGGACGGUCCCUAGCUGGUCUGAGCGGAUGACCAGCCAGACUGGAACUGAGACACGGUCCAGACUCCUAAGGGAGGCAGAAGUGGGGAAUAUUGCACAAUGGGCGCAAGCCUGAUGCAGCAAUGCCGCGUGUAUGAAGAAGGCCUUCGGAUUGUAAAGCACUUUCAGCGGGGAGGCGUUACCCGCAGAGGAAGCACCGGCUAACUACGUGCCAGCAGCCGCGGUAAUAC